GCGAUGACGACUUCUGCAAGCUCUUUGAGAGCAUUACAGUUGAAGACAUGCACGAGUUGCUAAUGUACUUCGCAGAGCUAAUAAAUUAUAAUACCGACAUUUCUAUAAGCAUUUAUACUAGAUACUAUUUCCAACUUCGUGAACUGGCAUUCAGGCAUGGCCUGGGUUUGCCACAUUACCUUCUUGACAGAGAAAGAGCAUGGGAUCUGAAGGCUUUAUCAAGGAUGGAACAAGAUGAAGUGUUCUAUGCUGUUCACAAGAACUGGUCUUUCAGUGCUGAUGAUUUAAUUCGUCUUCGGCACGCUAAGGCCGUCCUCUCCUGAAGGAAGAAAUGAGGGGUAAUGUAACAUCUGAACCCCUCAUCAAAAAAGACAGGAGAAUGCCACCUCUCCUGCUAAGGAACUAGAAAAGUUCAUGUUUUCAAAAGAAGAAACACCUCAAUACAAGUUAACUCAAGGACAGCUAAGGUUGUACUUAAUAGUAAAGAAUGGGACCUUGUAGGGACAACAAUGCAGUCUUACACUCUUCUGUCCCUUUUAAUGUAAACAGAGUUAUAGAAACCACUCCAAAAUAACCACUUCUGCCCACUCACAGAUACUUAGUGUGUCAGCUGAUAGCUGUGAACUAUGUAAGGCUUUUUUUCUUUUGUUUUCAGAUGAGUCUCACUCUGUUGCCAUCCUAGAGUGCAGUGGCAUGAUCGCAGCUUAAUGCAAUUUCCACCUCCUGGGUUCAAGCCAUUCUCCUGCCUCAGCCUCCUUCCUUAAUUAAAUGUUUUAUUUUAAGUAGCUGGGAUUACAGGGGCACCUGGCCUAUGUAAGGCUUUUAAAACAAUAGUUUAAAUUUUUUAGAUUUUAAAGAUAACUUUUCUGUUUUUUUAAAAAUAUUUUUUAUUUUCCCCCAAAUUGCAGUAUUAGUAUUAAAACAUGUCAAAGGAGUUCAUGAAUAGCGCAGUCUUUUCUUCCUGGGGGUCCUCCCCUUCAGUGUCCCAGCCAGCUUGCAGCAGCCAUAGACGGAGGCUUUAUACUGAGAGAAGCUACAGAGCGCUGGAAAGCUGGGAAUGCACACAUAGACAUGACCAGAGUUGAGAAUAGGAGGUGGGUUGUGAUGUCCUCUCUGAGGGAAUAAUUGUCAUUUUCCUGAGGCUGUUUCUAGAUAUUGUCAAAUAAAUUCAGAUGUAGGUAAGAUGUGACUUUAUUCUAAAGGAGUAUUGCAAUGGGGAAAGCAUCAAGCAUCAGAUCUACAUCUCACAAGAGGCAGAAAAGGGCUGUGUUUUUUAUGGAGGAGCAAACAAGAUUAGAAGGAAGGUGGGAAGAAGAGUGGAGAAUGGCAAAAUCAGAUUUUAGCUUAGGGACUGUUUCACCCAAAGUCAGCCUGUUCUUAGGAGGGGCAUAAACGGGCUUUGAAUGUUGGCUCAGACUGAAGGCAGAGCAGAGUCUGGGAGGCUGGAGAAGGGAGAGAAACUUAAGCAAAGUUGUGGUGGAAUUCCUGGAACUCGUGGCAAAGGUUGCAGUGAGCCGAGAUUGCACCAUUGCACGCCAGGGUGACAGAGUGAGACUCUGUCUGAUAAAUAAAUAAAUAAAUAAAUAUUUUUAAAUAAUCUUUUAAAUAUUUUUAAUAAAAUCUUGUUU
Molecule: long non-coding RNA, 1628 nt
Organism: Saimiri boliviensis boliviensis (Bolivian squirrel monkey)
Lineage: Eukaryota; Metazoa; Chordata; Mammalia; Primates; Cebidae
Source: Ensembl